Molecule: transfer RNA, 75 nt
Filed under: Thermoleophilia bacterium
Lineage: Bacteria; Bacillati; Actinomycetota; Thermoleophilia
Description: tRNA-Pro
Rfam family: tRNA
About the family: Transfer RNA (tRNA) molecules are approximately 80 nucleotides in length. Their secondary structure includes four short double-helical elements and three loops (D, anti-codon, and T loops).
Source: RNAcentral
CGGGGUGUAGCUCAGCCUGGUUAGAGUGCCGCGUUUGGGGCGCGGAAGUCGUCGGUUCGACUCCGACCACCCCGA